AUCAUGAAAAAGGGGGGCGACAGGUAACAUUAGACACAUUCUCCUUGAAUUCUAUCAGAAUAUUAACAUGUAGAACCUGCUUAGGCUGUUUUCUUUCGGGACACAAACUCUCAUAUAUUACUGGACCCAGUUUUCUGGUCAGGACAUAUGGACCCUGCCAUUUGGCCAACAACUUGCUUGUACCUGAUGGUGGUAGUAGUAGAAAGUUCUGUCCUGGUUUGAAGUCCCUUUCCCUGGCAUGUGUGUUGUACAUGUGUUGUCUUUGCUGGGCAGCAGAUAGGUUUUCUUUAGCCAGAGUCCUAAAGUUUUCCAACUUGUCCCACAUCUGUAAGAUGGGCUAGUUCCUCUGCUAUCCACCCUUCCUUGAGCAUGUCCAGGGGGCCACGAACUUGCCUGCCAAACAAAAGUUCAGAAGGUGAGGAACUGGUUGAACACUGAGGGACCUCUCUGUAGGUGAAAAGAAGAAAAGGGAUCCAUUUAUCCCAAUCCCUCCCAGAUUCAUGAACAAACUUUUUAAUCAUGUUUUCAAGGUAGCAUUAAACCGUUCUACAAGACUAUAAGUUUUAGGGUGAAAUUGUGUAGUUCUGAUUUCCUUAAUGCCUAGAUGUUUAUACAACAGCUUCAUCACUUUAGCCAUAAAGUUUGUUCCAUGAUCAGUGAUAAUUUCAGAUGGAACUCCCACCCAUGAAAUCAAGUCAACCAAACAUCUCACAAUGUGUUUAACUUGGAGUGAAUGCAAGGGGUAGACCUCUGGAUAUUGAGUAGCAUAGACACAGAUCACCAAUGCAAAUCGGUGACCCGAACUACUCUUCACCAAUGGACCACCAAAGUGUACUCACCUUACUGCUCUUGGCUCUCACCACAGGAUAUGACACGUCCCUCAUAUAAAACAGGUCCAUCACAGCCUCCACCGCUAUCAUAGCUUCCAAUUCCACAUCACCUACUUGAGCUUCAACAAGAGCUUCCUCCGCUUCAGGGAACAGGGUACUCCGGUUUCCUCACCCGGUCCAAAGACAUGCAUGCGUUGCAGAUUGUGGAACCCAGAAGGCGCAUUUCUAUGAGAUGACUUUAUGUUUUUCUAACAUUUGAAGAUGGAUAUACUGCAAGAAUUUGUAAGACCUGCGACAUACUUACAGGAUUUGCCUGGAGUUGCCAAUUACUACUGUAGCUUUGAGGGACUCAUUCCAGGAACUCGAGUUCUUGCAAGAUGGUCAGACAACAAAUUUUAUGAUGCCACUGUAGAUCACAUUGGGUACUGUGACCAAAAGCUGGACCCGAGAAAGGAUGCAAAGAAGGACAUAAAAAGAAAUUAUGCACCUGCUGAAUCAUUUUAUAACCAGAAUCGGGUCGCUUCUGCACCUGCUGAACAUGGUCCUUUCUCUGCACUAACCCAGCCUCCGUCUCCAGGAUUGCCACCAACCCAACAUCAAUCUGUGCAAUUACCAUGCCCUGUUAAGCCUUUUAAUCCACAGACCAUGACACCAUCUGAGUAUUGUAAUCUAGACCAGCCAGGUUUACUAGAUUUAGAUGAGCAUCAAAGACAAACCAUUACACAUAAUUCAACCCCAAAAGAAACAUUUUUGGGGCUUCUGUAUAACCCGUCUAUACCUCACCCCUCAGCUGAAGUUACAAUUCAGGAUGGCCAGCUUGGAUUAGAGCCUGAGGAGGAGUAUGAAGAACCCACAGUCAGAUCACAGAACGCAUCCUAUGAAAAUGAACAAUGGGAGCCAUUUGAAACAUGCAAGCUGGAGAUCUUGAACACCUACAGGCACUCGGAGACUUUAUAGAUAAGAUGGAAGACUACAAAUCAUGUGAAAGUGGAGUGCUGAUGCCUCAAACCAGACCUGGCCAACAAGAACUUUACCCAGACAGUGGUCUGCUCUUGUCCUCUACCAAACUAGCAGCUAUUCACUAAGAGUCAAAGAAGGACUGUCUUCAUCUUUUCCACCUACUCAUGAAGAAUGUUCAAACUCUGUAGUGUUUGGAAAGCAUGGCAAAGUCCCUGAAGGCAAGACAAUUUUGGAUAAAAGUAAAGUAAAUGGAAUACUAACUUAUGUCAUGAGCUGCGGCAAAUGUCAUGGAUGGAAACCAGUUGAAAAGUCAAAGCUGAAGAAAGCCCUUAAACAAGUGUCGCAUGAGAUCAACUUAAAUGUUUAUGUAAUUGUAGUGUUACAUCAAUGAUGUUGUCAUUUACUGGUCUUUUAUUUUGCUGUUUCUGUAUUUAAGUAUCUAUAUGUAGCUGUGCUGCACUUUUUUUUGGAAAUGUUGCUUAUAAAGUGUAAUAUCUAAAUAUCUUAGUUUGAUAUUGUAGAAAACUUGUUCCUCUAAGAUUAAAAUCUGUCUUUACAGAGAUUGCAAAGUAUAAACAUAACUCAUGUGCAGUAUCUAACACUUUAAUUUCUUUUAAUUUUUUUUAUUUGAAGUGCCUAGUAAAAGAUUUCCAUAUUGUAUUUUCUUGCCAUUGUAUUAAGCAUGUAAAAUGAAUCUUGAAACCUACAUGAGUAAAGAAAAUGUUAACCUCAUACUGAGCACAGUAAAAGCAGCCUAACGUCUGAGCAAUAAAACUUUCUGCAAGAC
Molecule: long non-coding RNA, 2577 nt
Organism: Tachysurus fulvidraco (yellow catfish)
Lineage: Eukaryota; Metazoa; Chordata; Actinopteri; Siluriformes; Bagridae
Exons: 5
Source: RefSeq, a predicted model, not a curated record